GUCCGUCGCGCGCCGACGUAUGGGCGGCGUGAGGAAAGUCCGGGCAACAAAGAGCGCCAUACCGGUUAAUCUGCCGGCGGUCAGUAAUGGCCGAGCAGCGUGACAGAAAAUAACCGCCGCCCGUAUCCAAGAGGCGGCAAGGGUGAAAAGGUGGGGUAAGAGCCCACCGGGCGUUAUGGUAACAUAGCGUGCCGCACGUCUUAUGGGUUGCAAGGUCAAGUACACCGGCAUUUAAGGGUGGCUCGCCCAUUGCCGGGGGGUAGACUGCUAAAGGCGUCCAGUAAUGGGCGUCGCAGAUAAAUGACGGACGGGUCGCGGUGUCUCCGCUUGCGGACAGUACCGCACCCACAUAACCCGGCUUAUACCCGGCCCC
This 373-nucleotide RNase P RNA is filed under the name pig gut metagenome. Its description in RNAcentral is "Bacterial RNase P class A". It matches the Rfam family "Bacterial RNase P class A". Rfam says of the family: Ribonuclease P (RNase P) is a ubiquitous endoribonuclease, found in archaea, bacteria and eukarya as well as chloroplasts and mitochondria. Its best characterised activity is the generation of mature 5'-ends of tRNAs by cleaving the 5'-leader elements of precursor-tRNAs. The record is from RNAcentral.